CCUCUGCUGCCUGAUCCCCGCCCUAUCACACGAGGAGCCGCUUUCAGUGCAGAGCUCGGGGCUCAGCUAAAGCGCGACGUCCCUGCCGUGACACCCCCUCACAAGCCACGGGUGGAUCAGAGCUCGGGUCGCUGUGUUGUGAUGAAGCAGCUGUGUCAUCCCCACUUAGGUGUUAUACACACACCCCUUAGCCGCUUCGGGGCCUUUAGAGCCCGCCUGGGAAAGGGCUGGGCUAACAUGCUCCUAGCUUCCCCUCAGCCUGGCGUGGACGGGGCGAGGUAGGCGCGGGGCUGAGCGGGCUCUGAGCUCGCCGCCCCUUGUGGCUGGAGCGCUGCGGAAGGAGUCGGGAGGCGAGGAAUGCCGGGGAAGGGCCAUUUAGCGCCCUGCCCUCCGAACAGAGAUUGUGACCCCCCCCAGGGGCCACCUGUUCCUGGGCGUCUUCUAGUGCGAGCUCAGGGGAGAUGCCUGACCUGUGGUGGAGGCUCUCUGGAAGAAACUCCAGGAAGACAGAGUAAGGGAUGAACAUGCCAGUCCAGUUUGGUGGACAUAAUACCUCAGAAGGGGUGGACUGUGUUUUUGCCAGAGGACUAAAUUAAUAUGCUGGCAAAGGGGAUGGAGCAGGAGCUGACGCAGUGGCUACACCUGAUGAUAGAAAGGUUGCAAUGUCCUGGUUUGUGUACAAGUGUAACACUGCCCUCUACUGGAUGGAAUAUGUCAGAUGUGCCUGCUUAUGUAAAACAGAUCCUUCUAUUGACUGAGCUAAAGUAGCACUGCUACUACUAAGCCAUCCAGUCUGUCUUGUGAGACAAUUCAGAGAGAACUACAGGAGUCUUGCAGUCAGAGAAAAAUCAAAAGAAAAAGGAUUAUUUGAUUUUCACCAUAUGGAGGUGUACCAUACAGAACUACCAGCUACACUUAUUCUAACUAGUAUCUAUUUCCUGUCCUUACUAGCUUGAUUAUAUAUUCAUACAAAUAUUGUUAGUAUAUAAUUGAUUUGAUGAGCCAAAUUCACCUGGUGAACUCAACUGACUGAGUCUAGUUACACAAGAGAUUAAUUUAGCCACUGAGUUUACACCAAACAACAACCUGCAAUUUAAACAGCAAAUUAUAGUAAAAUUCUUUGCAUAAGGAUUAUUUAUAACUCAUUUACUAGGAUGAAUAAUAGUAGCACACUGCUACUAUUUACAUGUUGAGCAUAACUGCAAGUUUUUAUUAGAAAAUGCCACUCAUCUAGAUCUUUCAUCAUUUGGCUACCUCCCUGACUUUAGCUUCUAAAUCGAUCUGUCACAUAUGAAAACCAACAAUAUCAAGCAGCAUUAUUGUUUUCUUAUAGGUUUAUUUUCUUGUCAUUCGAAAGUGACUCCUACCAUUGUAACAGAAAUUACGGAUACUGACUUCUUUCUACCAACAAUAUGACCAAAAAAAGACAGUUGCCUUCUUAGGGAUCCUUUAAGAAGUCAAAGCAAACUUAAAAUAUUAAUGAUACAUUUCAGGACCUGAAAGAACUAAAAGUUGUAUAGAUACUGAAGUAAUGAUGGGAGAGAAGUGAGGAUUUGGCCAUUAUCACAAAACAUGAAUUCACUAGAAUCCAUUGGUGCUGUGUUACAUACCAUUUGGAAACAUUAUUCAACACUGUGGACAAGUAUUUGUACUGGUAUAAGUAUUUUCUGCAUUGCUAGUAUUACCAUCUAAUAAUUUAAAAAACCUAUAUAGUGUGUUACAUUUUCAACGCCUUGUGAUCUUUAAUAAGUUAAUGUUACAAUCUCCAUAUGAGAUACAUAGGUGGUUCUCAUUUUAUCCUCUCCUAGCAUCCUUUAGUAGAGUCCAGUAGGAUGCACUGGGGGUGUGACUUGAAAGCACUGUACUCUGAGAAUCCCUGCUCCUUCUACUAAAGCAUGGGAAGUCACAAAAUAUGUCUCUUGAGACAUCUCUUCCUCUCACAAUAAGUUCUUAGGGGUGCUCUGUUUUGCCGUCUUGCCCUGUUGUUAAUGACGUUGCAUAUGUCCUCUUCCCCUGCUGUUACUGCUUCUGCACACCAGAAAAGCUAGCUGAGAGAAGUUAAGAGCCUAGUUUUGCAAGGCAUGGAAUUGAAGAUGCUCAAUACCUCACAUGAUUAGGCCUCAAAUGAUUUGCCAAAUGUCACACACUAAAAGUCAGCAGCAGAGCCAGGGUUAGAAAUAAGGAAUAUCUGGCUCUUUGCUUUAUGAUUGUUCCAUUACAUCGCCUUACUUCUCUGUUUAAAAAUAACUUUUUGUAUUUUCCAAGUGCCCUGAAGUGUGCUGUCUGCCUUACAAAGCAAGUAAAGACAUGGUCCCUGGUCAACAAGACACAAUUAGUUAGGGUAAUAAGAGAAGAGGGGAGGGAAGGACAAGGAUGAGAAUUAUAAGAUGAUAUGGCUAUUCAGUUAAGCAGAGGGGUCAUGGAUCAGUGUUCACAUUGCACUCCCCAUCAGUACCUGGCCCAAGCUGGGGAUGCUAAUGAUCCAAAUAGCGGACCAGAUUCGGUGAUGAAUCCUGGUCACAUGCCACCUGAGGCAUGUUGCACAUCCGCUAAAAAGAAGAAAUCAGGCAAAUACACAUCUUAAUGGUUCUGUUGUUGGUUUUUGUUUACCUUUCCUGCCCCUCAUCCAUCAUAGGCAAAAUGGCAGAAGUGAUUUUUUAGGAGGGAUUGAAAUGAAAAGAGGGAGGUAGGGUGAUCAGAUGUCCCGAUUUUAUAGGGACAGUCCUGAUAUUUGGGGCUUUUUCUUAUAUAGUCACCAAUUGCCCCCUACCCUGAUUUUUCACACUUGCUAUCUGGUCACCCUAGAGGGAGGUGACUUAACCAACAGGUUUGGAGGGCAGUAUUUGGGUAUAAGGGACAACCUGAAAGAAGACACAAGGACCUUUGUAAGAAAAAUUAGUGUGGGAGUGAUGUGCAAAGGACCCACAAAUCAUAAAGGUAGGUAGAGGUUGUGCCAUAUCAUCCUUGGAAGACUAGAAGUUAGAAUUUAAUGUGCAGUGUAGUGGGUAGCCCGUGAUGUGUCUCACUGAGGAGAGUGACACAGUGGAAAAGACAGAUGGUUUGGCAGCAGUAUUUUGGAUUAACUGGUUGGGGUUGAAGUUAGGGUGCAUUACAGAGUGCUGUAGAGUAAGAAUGUGGACGUGGGAUUGGAAUAGCAAAUGAUGCUAUAGUUCAGAAUUGAAGAGCAUUGGUAGAUCUUCCUGGGAAUCCAGAGAAAAGAAUCUGUUUUCAGACAAUAGAUGCAAUCACAACAUAGUCACAUUAAUACAACACCGGAACUAGAUCCCUGGUCCAUCAGCAGCUAAAACAGAUUUCUAUUCCUUAAACUUAAAGGAGAGCCAUAGGUAUAUAUUAACAGAUGUCAGACACUGCGUAUGCAGCAGCAAAGAACUUCCCCUAGCGAAGAGUUUAUAAUUUAAAGACAUAAAUAAGUACAAUACAAAUAGUAAUGAACAACAUGGUAUAUGGAUGUGAUUGUGCAGAUAGACUUCACAGAAUAUGUGGGAUUCUCAAGUGAAUUGAAAGACAAGCCGGUGUAUUACAGGGGAUUGAACAUCAUCUAGUGUUGUGGAACCCUCUAUGGGAUUCUAUAUCCUGUAAUACACAAAGAUCUGAAUUAAAGAUGUUGCCACAGUCCUAACUUAGAAUUUUCCUUAAAAAAUACUUUAAAAAAUCUAGAAGUGUACUCAUUUUGUUCAGUCUCCUAAUCUUUUAAUCUGUUUUAAAUUUCAGAAGCACUUCCCACUCUAAUUCAAUUUUAAAUUACAGCUGGCAUUUCUAAGCCUGUUUCUAGUGGCAGCCAUUUUGCUAAAAAGGCAAUAUAAUCUGUGAU
This is a long non-coding RNA of Mauremys reevesii (Reeves's turtle), 3832 nucleotides long. RefSeq lists it as uncharacterized. NCBI's taxonomy places the organism in Eukaryota, Metazoa, Chordata, Testudines, Geoemydidae. The record is from RefSeq and is a predicted model, not a curated record. The transcript is spliced from 3 exons.